Aedes aegypti (yellow fever mosquito) is the source of this 613-nucleotide long non-coding RNA. RefSeq lists it as uncharacterized. The transcript is spliced from 3 exons. Lineage: Eukaryota; Metazoa; Arthropoda; Insecta; Diptera; Culicidae. The record is from RefSeq and is a predicted model, not a curated record.
GAUGGUGAUCUCAAAAUUGAAACCCAGCGGUGCGCUAAAGCGUCGCCCAACUAGAAUCGGAUCAUUAUUCACACGGAAGCCCCAGCACAGCUUCAUCAUACGGUCAUGGGGGACCGCCGCUACCUCGCUUUCACUUGGUACCGAUUUCCCAUAAUCCAUGUGAUGUGACGUAGUGGUACCUUCCCUUGGCUAUUACAACACUUCCUCCUCAGACCACGACGAUGACGAUGGGACGUUGAGGAAAAUCAGAGAUGAAUAACGCUAAUCCAUAUCAUCAACCCAACCAACUCCAGGAUUCCAACGAUGACGUACAUCCUCAGAAGCAACUCCAUCUAGCGAGAGGGAGACCAGACCUGCAAUCUUCCGAUCCGCACCGGGCGAUAAACCAGCGCUAUUUCAACACGUUCAAACCUUGCUGGCAGAGCCGAUUACUAACACGACGGCAGCCUCCACCCGAAAUUGACGAUCCUCCGUCACUUGGCGUGACCCGGACCAAGGCAAGGCAAUUCCUCUCGAAGCCGGCGGGAAACCAGAUUAGGUGAUAAACAAUCUCUUCCCGGGCCAUUAUCUAUAACCAAACUGCAAAUUAAAUAAACGCUUCUUGACAUCCGUU